Non-coding RNA from Camellia sinensis, 780 nucleotides. NCBI's taxonomy places the organism in Eukaryota, Viridiplantae, Streptophyta, Magnoliopsida, Ericales, Theaceae. The record is from RefSeq and is a predicted model, not a curated record.
GGUCAUGAGUUGUAGGUUGUCAACACCAUUGAGAAAACUAUUUCACUUGAGGAUGGUAAAGUUGUUCUAACACCUCAUAAUGGUCAGGAAGCCUCUCCUGAAGUGUUGCCUAUCAACUUUUCUGGACUGGCAAAGUCUCAGUUGAUGAGUGCCCCUCAAUUGAUAAUUCAGAGAGGACUGAUGGAGGUGCCUUUGAUGGAAGUGCCAGUCAUAUACAAAACAAUGGGAGGCGGAGGCAAAAGGUUCAAGAUCCUGCUCGAGAUCUUUCAAUUCAAGUAUUGGAGAAAUUCUCUCGUGUGACUAGAUUUUCUGGGAAAGUCAUAGUGAUAUUUUUGGCACUAAUGAGAGGGGGACCCAUAACCUGACUCCUCACGAUUACCCUAGCAACGUGGCAUCCAUUAUGUAGAAAAGGUUACUGAACAAAUUCCUGUAACCAAAGAUCCUUUGGAGAAAACACUGUAUUGGAAAAGAAAUGAUGAAGCAGAAGCUGCCACCAAUGUGGGAACUUUUGAGCUAAUCAAUUUUAAGGAGGUACCAAAACGAGCCUUUAGGUUUUGUUUAUCUUUCUGGGUUUGUUCCCAUUCAAAUUUUUUUUACCUUCUUCAAGUAUGAGCAUAAGGUAACAGUGUCUAGUUAGUUUCCUGCCAUUGCUUUUCAUAAUCCUUCAACAAAUAUGCAGUCACUCGAAUUCGGCCUUUGUUAUUUAAGCAGGCAAAUGAUGGUAGUAAUUCAUUCUUUUCUCUGCUUAGAAGUGAUGUGUUACACAUGAGAAUGUGUCCU